Molecule: ribosomal RNA, 252 nt
Filed under: Phascolarctobacterium faecium
Lineage: Bacteria; Bacillati; Bacillota; Negativicutes; Acidaminococcales; Acidaminococcaceae
Description: partial 16S ribosomal RNA
Rfam family: Bacterial small subunit ribosomal RNA
Source: RNAcentral
UACGUAGGUGGCGAGCGUUGUCCGGAAUUAUUGGGCGUAAAGAGCAUGUAGGCGGCUUAAUAAGUCGAGCGUGAAAAUGCGGGGCUCAACCCCGUAUGGCGCUGGAAACUGUUAGGCUUGAGUGCAGAAGAGGAAAGGGGAAUUCCCAGUGUAGCGGUGAAAUGCGUAGAUAUUGGGAGGAACACCAGUGGCGAAGGCGCCUUUCUGGACUGUGUCUGACGCUGAGAUGCGAAAGCCAGGGUAGCGAACGGG